AGAGUUUGAUCCUGGCUCAGAUUGAACGCUGGCGGCGUGCCUAACACAUGCAAGUCGAGCGGUAACAGGUGUAGCAAUACAUGCUGACGAGCGGCGAACGGGUGAGUAAUGCUUUGGAAUCUUCCCAGUAGUGGGGAAUAACCAGUCGAAAGAUUGGCUAAUACCGCAUACGUCUGUAAAGGGAAAGCGGGGGCUCGUAAGACCUCGCGCUAUUGGAUGAGCCAAAGUCGGAUUAGCUAGUUGGUGGGGUAAUGGCCUACCAAGGCGACAAUCCGUAGCUGGUCUGAGAGGACGACCAGCCACACCGGAACUGAGACACGGUCCGGACUCCUACGGGAGGCAGCAGUGGGGAAUAUUGGACAAUGGGGGAAACCCUGAUCCAGCGACGCCGCGUGUGUGAAGAAGGCCUGCGGGUUGUAAAGCACUUUUAGUGGG
RNAcentral lists this ribosomal RNA (435 nucleotides) under uncultured bacterium. RNAcentral describes it as "bacterial SSU rRNA". It matches the Rfam family "Bacterial small subunit ribosomal RNA", at positions 8 to 443 of the family's 1533-position model. The record is from RNAcentral.